This 148-nucleotide non-coding RNA is filed under the name Pan paniscus (pygmy chimpanzee). The record is from Rfam by way of RNAcentral. Lineage: Eukaryota; Metazoa; Chordata; Mammalia; Primates; Hominidae. RNAcentral also lists the same sequence under 1 other name.
GCUGGGCAUGGUGGCGUGUGCCUGUAGUCCCAGCUACUCGGGAGGCUGAGGCGGGGGGAUCACUUGAGCCCAGGAGGUUGAGGCUGCAGUGAUCUAGGAUUGCACUGCUGCACUCCAGCCUGGGUGACAGAGCAAGACCCUGUCUCAA